UGUAGUUGCGAUGAGGAUAAUAAGCUCCCUCUUUUGAAAGCAUUGAUGACAUCGCCGGCAAAAUCGAACCAACUAAAUAUUGCCACAACUCAGCAA
This is a small nucleolar RNA of Triticum dicoccoides, 96 nucleotides long. RefSeq annotates it as small nucleolar RNA R30/Z108. The record is from RefSeq and is a predicted model, not a curated record. The transcript has a single exon. Lineage: Eukaryota; Viridiplantae; Streptophyta; Magnoliopsida; Poales; Poaceae.